GACGAACGCUGGCGGCGUGCUUAACACAUGCAAGUCGAACGGUGACCCAGGGCUUGCCCUGGUGAUCAGUGGCGAACGGUGAGUAACACGUGGGCAACCUGCCCCUGACUUCGGGAUAACUCCUCGAAAGAGGAGCUAAUACCGGAUACGACCACUUCGGACAUCCGAUGGUGGUGGAAAGUUUUUCGGUCAGGGAUGGGCCCGCGGCCUAUCAGCUAGUUGGUGGGGUAAUGGCCUACCAAGGCGACGACGGGUAGCCGGCCUGAGAGGGCGACCGGCCACACUGGGACUGAGACACGGCCCAGACUCCUACGGGAGGCAGCAGUGGGGAAUAUUGCGCAAUGGGCGAAAGCCUGACGCAGCGACGCCGCGUGAGGGAUGAAGGCCUUCGGGUUGGUAAACCUCUUUCAGCAGGGACGAAGCGAAAGUGACGGUACCUGCAGAAGAAGCACCGGCUAACUACGUGCCAGCAGCCGCGGU
This 480-nucleotide ribosomal RNA is filed under the name uncultured bacterium. Its description in RNAcentral is "bacterial SSU rRNA". It matches the Rfam family "Bacterial small subunit ribosomal RNA", at positions 28 to 521 of the family's 1533-position model. The record is from RNAcentral.